GCAAAAAACUGUUGAAGCUCCCGCUUUAACGUAAGAAAAUGUAAAGUACCCUAUACCAGCGUAAAGAUCUGCAAUAAUUUCGUCUUUAAUGUAACUAAAAUUAAGUACUCUGGCCUUUUCAAUCGAAUUACCACGAGAGAACAUCGUAUAAAGAGGAGCCCAUGUCUGAUAAAUACCGUUUUGACGACAACUUACCCAAAAUGCUUUUUGAAAAUCCUGUUCAGAGGGGUUGCCAUCAAUUAGCACUCCAAAGUCACCGUAUAGCGGUUUCAAUGACAAUGGUCUUCUCAUUACAUCCCCCACAGGAAUAGGUUCAUUAAUAGCAAUAUGUGAUACGUUCCAUUCUCUAGCAAAAAUAUCAAAUAAACCAGCUUUGACAUCGACGUUUGCAUAAGACUGAAAAAAAAGAUGCCAUUCUUUAGUGCCAAAACUGUUUAAAGAUAAUAGAGCUAACGGAGGAUAAAUGACAAACCUAGAUGGAACGGGAUAUUGUUCUUCACUCACAGUUGUGUGAAGGAUUUGAGAUACAUAGCGAAGAACUUUAAUCUGCAAUUUUUCAUCUGUUUGAACAGAUUUUACCUCCUCUUCGAUUAAAUAAAUUCUUGGGCAAUCUAAUAUAUCUUUAGGAAGGUCUUCUUUGUUAUAAGAAGUUGGAAUAAGAACGCACUUUUUGAGAAAAUCUGCUUCAAAUUGAUUGCUGUAGGUGUCAACUAAUUUAGGUCCCGAAAUGAUCCCAAUAUUUUUAAGAAACUUAUUUUUAUUUUGAACAACAUCCUUCCAGUACUUUGCUUCAGACUUUUGUACUAGAAAAGAAAUCAUGAAUAAGUUGGAAGAAAUGAGGUUAGGAAUAGUACACGACAAUUAUAAACUUUGCGAGAAAUUCUUAACUUCAAGAUACAACCUUUGUCAAUGUCUAAAAUGUUAGAAAAAUAGCUUCAAAUAUUUAAAAAUGACGAUUUAAAGUCAUGAAAUUAAAAGUUAUUAUAAGAUUUUAUGACCACAAAAAAUUCAAUCAAUAUAACCUUAAAAUAAGUAGAGACUUACCAAUAUACUUUCGACGUGAUGAGAUUGAGGAAAUAGAUCAAAUCCGCGAAUUUCGUCUAUUUUGUAAGACCGUCCUUUUUCUUGACUCAGCAAAAAGCCAACGUCACGAGCUUGUGUAUGUACAUUGCAAGAGAUAUAUACAAUUCGAUAUGGACUAUAUUCCAAAAGUUGAUUCAAAAAGGAUUGGUCACAUCCUUUUCUGGGAGGAUCAAUUACCAUAGCAGUUUCAUUAGGAGGUGUUUCAAUGCUCUAUUUUAAUGUGUCAGUUUCAAGCCUCUAAAAUACACUUAUUCCUUACCGAAAAUAUUUUUUCUGCUUGUCCGACUAUAAAUGUCGCAUUCGAAACAUUAUUUCUCUUGGCAUUUUCUUCAGCAUAACGAACGCUAUCUGCUGAAAUCUCCACGCCAAUUACAGAAAGAAAGCCCUUUGAACAUGCCACACUAAAUAGUCCAGAACCGCAAUAAGCAUCCACAAAGUAUUUGGGCCUUUGAUGUUCUUUUCGUCCAAAUGGGUUAAGCAAUUGUUCACGAACAUAGCUGGUGAACUUUUCCAAUAUAGAAUUAUUGUUCUGAAAAAAGGCGCCUGCUGGAAAUGUAAAACUUAGAUCACCAAAUUGCUCCCUAACAAUCAUCUUAUGGUCCGUAAUAACACAAUGCUUGCCGUCCUCUGUUGCGGAAUCUCUCAUUAGAAUAGUAGCUCCUCGCUUAAACGUAUUAGCACGACUUUGAACAUCUUCAAUAAUUUUCGGAUAUUCUUCAUUGAUGGUUUUUGUAGCAAUUGGACAUUCUUCUAUGUCCAUUACUCGUCUUCUUCCUUUUUCUUGGAAGCCAAUAAUUAAUGGUCCUUUAGUACCACCUUUCGGUACAUCGAAAUGUGGUGUUAUUUUUGUACGAUAAUUAUACUGAAGAGGGCUUCCAACAGUGUCUUUUAUAGCAGGAAGUAAAGAAGAGUCGAGUUUAGAGUAGUACUGAAAAGCUUUCUCAACUACUCUUUUUUUUUGAAGUAACUGUUUAUCAUAGGAUAGCAUUUGAUACUGACAACCUCCGCAUUUUGCAAAGUACGGGCACUUUAUAAGGGUGUCAUCCCUAUCUUCAGACGGGGAAAUUACUUCUAAAAAAUCAGCCAGUGCAUAAGUGCUAAUCGGUUAAUAAAGGUUUAACGGAACACUUGAAUUUUUUUUCCAUGCUCAGGAAGAUGAAUUAGAUUCAAAGUAUGUGUUCAAAAGCUGGGCAUGUUUAAAAUUCUUUAAAUUUACUUACUCAGCUAGAAAAUGCAAUUUGGCUUUCACGAUAUCACCUGGAAGUGUAAAGGGUACUACUACUGCAUAUUGAUCAUUGCAAACAAGGCCAAUUCCAUCACCUGUAAUAGUUGGUUAGUUAUUUUUAAAUUUAUUUAGAACAUUAAAAGGAUUUUUCAAAUACGACUGAUAUGAAGCUCACAUAAAAAAACGAAGCUCGCCAUCAAGAAUACGGGAUUAAGAACUUACCAGACGAGCUCAAAUAACUAAUUUUGACCUCUAUUUCUUGAAAGCGCUCAAAAGGCACAUUUGCCAAAACGGGUUUCUCAAUCAAAUUUUCAAUUUCUAACAGCAAGACAUGACCGGAACUUCCCUCUUCGACUGGCUUUUUAGCGCGCCUUUUUGAAAGUUUACGAGCUCUCUUAUUAGCAGCUUCCGAUAUAGAGGAAAUAGCUCUUGUUUCUUGGGCCAUUUUAUGAGUAGGGUGAGAUGGCGUAGGAAGAAAACGAAAACGACAAAUUUUCAGAGUCCUCGCACUGAGUAUGUUUUGUAUACACAGAAAAUUAAUCAUUUGCUUUGAACGUAAACCAUUUGUUAAAUAUUUCAAACAAUAUGGAUACAUGUGGAACAUCCAAUCAUCAGCGUUACAUAUACUUUAGUAUGUUGUUUUCAUUAUGGAAAGUUGCAGCAAUGAAGUGUUAGGAACU
Molecule: non-coding RNA, 2988 nt
Organism: Schizosaccharomyces pombe (fission yeast)
Lineage: Eukaryota; Fungi; Ascomycota; Schizosaccharomycetes; Schizosaccharomycetales; Schizosaccharomycetaceae
Source: the annotation of a GenBank genome assembly